Molecule: long non-coding RNA, 1378 nt
Organism: Cucumis sativus (cucumber)
Lineage: Eukaryota; Viridiplantae; Streptophyta; Magnoliopsida; Cucurbitales; Cucurbitaceae
Exons: 2
Source: RefSeq, a predicted model, not a curated record
AAAGUUUAUCGUUGAUUUUCUCGGUGAUGGAAGUUUAUCAAUGUCUAUCACGAUUUUUUUACUACUUUUUAAAUAGUUUGGCAUUUUUCAAUCGAAUUUACAAUCACUCAAAAUGAUUAACUUGUUGUUUUGAAAUUUGUAUUUAUCAACUUUUAACUAUAUCAAUUUUCAAAUUACAAAUAUGUAUUGAACCCAAAAUUUAAACAGAGCAAAGAAAACGAGAAUUAUAAAACUUUGGUAAGAUUAGAAAAGUUUUUCCUCACCCACACUAUCCAACUAUAUAUCUUUUUGGCUUGGUUUCAGUGACAUGUGACAAGCUUUUUAACACAUAAUAUUUUAUUUUAUGGUUAGACAGAUUACAAAGAAUGAUUGCAAUUGCAACUCAACUACCAAUUAAUUGUAAUAUCAAGAUGAACUUAUGUUUGCUCGUUCCACCUCAUAUCACACAAUCUUUUAUGACAGAAUACAACAAGAUAUGUUUAGCCUGAGGUACGUGUAAGUAUUUUCCUACUAAAAAAUCAUGGUUGAGUCACAUGUCGACUCAUCUUAAUGCAUCCUCAAAUUAAAAUCAACAAUUUCCACGCAAUUAAAAACAUCUUCUCAAUCUCACACUGAUCAAUUGUAUACAAUAAAGUGGAAUAAAUAAGAAACAACAUAUAUUCUCAAUGACAUAAAUUCUAUGAUGAAAUUACUAUUGUAAAGAUUAUUAUUGGAUAUCAUGCAGAUUCAUAUUGAUGAUGGAGAGAGUCAAAGCUGCCAAUUGAAACACAUCACUGUUAUUCUUUGUCAAUGGCGAAAUGAUUCCUUCUUUUUCUUUAAACCCAUUUUCACAAGUUGUAGGAGCUUCCAUAAUUGAACUUACCUUAAUAUUUGCAUCUUUAUAAUUCCUAUUUUUGUAUUCUCUUUUUGCUUCUUUCAAUGUCGGAACAGCAUCAGAAUAAAGCUCUACACAAUCCUUCAAACAACCCUUGAUGAACUCUUCCAUUUUUUUGUUCCUCAAAAGCUUUUUGAUUUCUCGUCGAGUGCUUGUUACGUUGUGUCGCAACAAGUCCAUGGAAAUGAGGCCAAGUUUGUGAAGAUUCGCAUAGCGACUACGGGUGUCGGAUUCUAAAGAAGUAACACAGAAUUUGUAGCUACGUGGUCUUAGCUUGGAAGCAAAGGAGGAAAGGAAAAUGUACAAAAGUCAAAGAGGCCGGUGGUGCUGCUGACACCCAACCUUAGCCGACGCCUUCGGGUUUAUUUGCUUCUACUCAAAUAUACCGUACAUACAAACUAACUUUUUGUUCUAAUUUCAUCUCUUCGUUUUUCUCUAAUUACACUUCAUUUCCAUCUUUAAAUUUCAACCGCAUUUAAAAGGAAAUUUUAUUGAUUUCCCAAA